RNAcentral lists this ribosomal RNA (414 nucleotides) under uncultured eukaryote. Its description in RNAcentral is "SSU rRNA". It matches the Rfam family "Eukaryotic small subunit ribosomal RNA", at positions 592 to 1017 of the family's 1831-position model. The record is from RNAcentral.
CAAUAGCGUAUAUUAAAGUUGUUGCAGUUAAAAAGCUCGUAGUUGGAUUUCUGGUGGAGAAGCUCCGCCCUCACGCGAGUGCGCGGAGGCUCUCUACCAUCCUUCUGUUAACCCUCGUGGUCCUUUAUUGGAUGCUUGGGAGCCCAGAUAUUUUACCUUGAGAAAAUUAGAGUGUUUCAGGCAGGCUUUCGCCCGGAUACAUUAGCAUGGAAUAAUAGAAUAGGACUACGGUCUCUUUGUUGGUUUGAGGGACUGCAGUAAUGAUUAAUAGGGAUAGUUGGGGGCAUUAGUACUUAACUGUCAGAGGUGGAAUUCUCAGAUUUGUUAAAGACUGACUUAUGCGAAAGCAUUUGCCAAGGAUGUUUUUCAUUAAUCAAGAACGAAAGUUAGGGGAUCAAAGACGAUUAGAUACCA